UCAGGUUAUUGAGCGAGCCGUAGACUUCAUCCAUCCCCUCUGUUUCCUCAAAACCGUAAUCCAUUAUGGCGUCGUCGGCCUGGACGUCUGCAGAACGCUUCGCCUUCUUGGACAUCUGCAUGGGCAGCGGCUGGACCAUGUCACCCGGAGGACCCUAAAACCACCAGAAGUUGUGUCCAAUUCCUCCCCGCCACUAGGGGGCUCCACAUUAAAGCUACUACUACCACUCAGUCAGGGGGGCCAAAGUCUAUCAUGUGUUUCUCCUGAACCAACCACAUGAUGCCAGCCAAUCAAACUGAUUGCUCACGCACCAUUGGGAGCGGCGCAACACACUCGGAGGACAGCGCUAUCCGCUCCCUCCGCUUGCAACCUCCGGCUGCGAGAGGUCAACCGGGAACCAAACCCGCGAUCUCCGGAUGAUAGGACAAGCACUUUUCCACUGCGCCACCAUGAGACCACAACUGCAUUAUUUUAUCAGAAUUUCUGAACUUCAAAAUAUAUUAGACUUACAGGCGCACCAGGAGGACCGAUCAACCCGGGUUCUCCCUUCUGACCCGCUGGACCCUAAAGAACACAUCGUUAUUUCAUAGAACAUAAAAACAU
Clarias gariepinus (North African catfish) is the source of this 603-nucleotide long non-coding RNA. RefSeq lists it as uncharacterized. The record is from RefSeq and is a predicted model, not a curated record. The transcript has 2 exons. Lineage: Eukaryota; Metazoa; Chordata; Actinopteri; Siluriformes; Clariidae.